UACGUAGGGGCCGAGCGUUGUCCGGAGUUACUGGGCGUAAAGCGUGCGCAGGCGGCGCGUUCUGCCCGGCGUGAAAGCCCCCGGCUCAACCGGGGAGGGUCGUCGGGACGGGCGCGCUUGAGGGUAUCAGGGGCUGGUGGAAUUCCCGGUGUAGUGGUGAAAUGCGUAGAGAUCGGGAGGAACACCUGUGGCGAAGGCGGCCAGCUGGGAUACACCUGACGCUGAGGCACGAAGGCGUGGGGAGCGAACGGGAUUAGAUACCCGCGUAGUCCCUGAGCGGGCU
Molecule: ribosomal RNA, 283 nt
Filed under: uncultured prokaryote
Description: partial 16S ribosomal RNA
Rfam family: Bacterial small subunit ribosomal RNA
Source: RNAcentral